GUUCGGACUGUGGUCUGCAACUCGACCACACGAAGCUGGAAUCGCUAGUAAUCGCGAAUCAGCAUGUCGCGGUGAAUACGUUCCCGGGUCUUGUACACACCGCCCGUCACACCAUGGGAGUCAGCAACGCCCGAAGUCAGUGACCUAACCGAGAGGAAGGAGCUGCCGAAGGCGGGGCAGGUAACUGGGGUGAAGUCGUAACAAGGUAGC
RNAcentral lists this ribosomal RNA (210 nucleotides) under uncultured bacterium. RNAcentral's name for it is "partial 16S ribosomal RNA". It matches the Rfam family "Bacterial small subunit ribosomal RNA", at positions 1291 to 1500 of the family's 1533-position model. The record is from RNAcentral.